GACGAACGCUGGCGGCGUGCUUAACACAUGCAAGUCGAACGGAAAGGCCCUGCUUUUGUGGGGUUCUCGAUUGGCGAACGGGUGAGUAACACGUGAGUAACCUGCCCUUGACUUUGGGAUAACUUCAGGAGACUGGGGCUCAUACCGGAUAGGAUCUCCUGCUGCAUGGUGGGGGUUGGAAAGUUUCGGCGGUGGGGGAUGGACUCGCUGCUUAUCAGCUUGUUGGUGGGGUAGUUGCUUACCAAGGCUUUGACGGGUAGCCGGCCUGAGAGGGUGACCGGCCACAUUGGGCCUACGAUAGGGCGCAGAAUCCUACGGGAGGCAGAAGUGGGGAACAUUGCACAAUGGGGGGAAGCGUGAUGUAGAAACGCCGGGUGCGGGAUGACGGCUUUUGGGUUGUAAACAGAUUCCGAAUGUGACGAAGAGUGAGUGACGGUAAUGGGUAAAGAAGCACCGGCUAACUACGUG
This 468-nucleotide ribosomal RNA is filed under the name uncultured bacterium. Its description in RNAcentral is "partial 16S ribosomal RNA". It matches the Rfam family "Bacterial small subunit ribosomal RNA", at positions 28 to 507 of the family's 1533-position model. The record is from RNAcentral.